AAUUUUUCAAUCGGUACAGACAAUAUUGGCCCGUUAAACCAAACGAAGAGCAUUUUGGUCAUUUAGUCUUUAGAGAUGAUUUUUGGCCAACUUGUCCAGUUAAAUAAAUAAUUAUUAUGAAAUAAAAUAUAAAUAAAUAUUGCUAAAAAUUUAAUUGAAAAUGAGUAGAAAAGAAAAGAAAAGAAAAUGAAUUAAAAAUUAUAAUUUUGACCUCAUGCUUAUGUCACUAAGCAUUCCCACCCAAUCACAUUUUGACACCUCAUAAUAAACCCAAUUAAAGGAGUAAAAUAGACUGAAAAAUCAAAAGAAAAAUUCUGCUCUCUUUCUUUCUUCUUCCUUAGCCGUAUUUCACUCUUUCUCUAUCUCCAUUGAUGACUUCACUUCUCUCUAAAUUUCCUUCAUAAACACCCCCUCAAAUACUUUACUCCCUUCACAAAAACUUGUCAUCACCACUAGAGCAAGCUUAAGGUAGCAAAAAAAAGAGGAAAAAGAAAGGUUUUGGCAAGCUUGAGAGUAGCUCCAACAGGGUUAGUGC
Molecule: unclassified non-coding RNA, 535 nt
Filed under: Hevea brasiliensis (rubber tree)
Lineage: Eukaryota; Viridiplantae; Streptophyta; Magnoliopsida; Malpighiales; Euphorbiaceae
Source: RNAcentral